This 243-nucleotide ribosomal RNA is filed under the name uncultured bacterium. RNAcentral's name for it is "partial 16S ribosomal RNA". It matches the Rfam family "Bacterial small subunit ribosomal RNA", at positions 95 to 334 of the family's 1533-position model. The record is from RNAcentral.
CCGGCGCACGGGUGAGUAACACGUAUGCAAUCCACCUGUAACAGGGGGAUAACCCGGAGAAAUCCGGACUAAUACCCCAUAAUAUGGGCGCUCCGCAUGGAGAGCCCAUUAAAGAGAGCAAUUUUGGUUACAGACGAGCAUGCGCUCCAUUAGCCAGUUGGCGGGGUAACGGCCCACCAAAGCGACGAUGGAUAGGGGUUCUGAGAGGAAGGUCCCCCACAUUGGAACUGAGACACGGUCCAA